GUUGGUGAAUGUAAUUUUAAGCAAAUUUUUGUUGAGAAAAAGUUUAUCACAUCACGAAGGCCAAAGGAACACCAAGAAUUUUGACAAAUGGAUGAGGAUUUAUUAAUGCAUCAGUCAGAAGCUCAAGAUAUCGAAGCAAGUGGAUCGGAUAUGGCUUUAAUUUCUCAAGAACACACUAGAUCAGGCAUGACCGAAAGUGAGAGACUUCUCCCCACAUAGUGUGUGUAGUACCAUUUAAGUGUGGUGUCCAUCCAUAUUUCACAUCCGCUGGCCUGUCUACAGAUGUCAACUUUUAGUACUUUGGACUGUAUCCUCCUUGCAUCUUCAGAUUAUAUAUACAACUCAAGGAUGCAGUCAUGAUGCAAAUGUAGACCAGUUUUUCAUUGCUGGAGAAGUGGAAGAGGAGAGCAAGAAACUGGUAAAGCUCGAGAAAUACAUGUGGCUGUUGGACAGCCUCAAACACUUAAAUUCUAUAACUAUUGGUUUUCUUUAGCCUUAAGCAAUCUAGCAACAUCUACUUUUCUGGAUGGUUUCGGUGUACAACAUACUUUAUGCCCUUUUUUUAACUAUCUGAUGUUCUGUACAGGAACUAAAAACCUUCAGGAUUUAUAGCCAUGUUGUAUAUCGGAUGUUCUGUACAGGAACUAAAAACUUCAGGAUUUGUAGCUAUAUUGUACAGGGUCCUGUACACAGUAUAACGCUUAGCAGUAAGGGUAUGUUAACGUAUACUAGAUGGAUAUAGAUGGAAUUAUUGAAAUUAUGAUUUGUACAAUUAAAGCUGUAAACCUCUAUAACAGGUUGCUGAGUGCAGACAUGUGUAUACACACACGCACAUUUUCCAGUAUUCAAUGCCAGGGGUGUAGUAAUGCUGUGUAGUCAACCUUGCUUCAGGGAUAAUACCUUGCCUUUGGUAUAG
Molecule: long non-coding RNA, 916 nt
Organism: Macrobrachium nipponense
Lineage: Eukaryota; Metazoa; Arthropoda; Malacostraca; Decapoda; Palaemonidae
Exons: 4
Source: RefSeq, a predicted model, not a curated record